This is a non-coding RNA of Delphinapterus leucas (beluga whale), 4810 nucleotides long. Lineage: Eukaryota; Metazoa; Chordata; Mammalia; Artiodactyla; Monodontidae. The record is from RefSeq and is a predicted model, not a curated record.
GAGCCAGGAGGGGCGCGCGCACGUACCCAGAGGCGCGGGCACGCGCGCCCGCUCUCCUUCACGUUCACCUUGACUGCAGGGGGGCGGGGGAUGGGACUACCUCCCCGCACCCCCUGGCUCACGACAACCCCUCUCCCCCCGCGCCCCGCCGCCGUCCUGCCCUGACGCAGAGGCUCCGGCUCGGGGAAAGAGGAGGGGGGGCGAGGCGCAAAGGCCCUCCGGUCGCCGCAGCGGCGGGAGAGCCGCGCGCUCUCCGCAGUGAUGUCAACCGCCUCCGCCGCAGCCCCCCAGCCACCCCGCCCCGGGCCUCGCCCGAGCCGCGUCCCGCGGAAACACUCGUCCCGCGCCUCCGGCCUGGGGUUAGAAGCAGAAGGCGUGCGGUGCCCUAAGCACCCCCCCACUCCAUUUGCCAAAGCAGGAGAGACAGGGGGUGCACCACCCUCUGGGUAGGAAGCGGAGGAAGGGUAGCGGGGCGGAGGACCAGGUGUGGGUUUGCUGGCCCAGGCCGCUGAUCGGAGUCGUCCCGGGACCGGUGCGGGUUACGUCAAGGAGGGAGGGCACUGACCACUGCAGGUGCCGCGCGUGUGGGCACGGUGAAAGCGCCCCCUUCUCCCAGGAUAGAAACGGAUAAACGGAAGCGCGUGUGAAUGUGCGGGUGCGAAUCGCCACCUCCCGCCUUGGUUUUCCCGCCCUUCCGAGCGCUCCCACUUGUCACUUUCCCCAAAUCCGCAUUUUCCUUGGCGCAGCUCUCCCCAAGCAAGCAGGAGAGGGAGUCAGCAGAUGUGGCUUCUUUUAGCUGAAUAAUCCGUUAAAGGAAAAAUAAUUUUUCAAAAGGACCUCACCCGAAGAGGAUGGCGAGCGAGAUUGGGGCUUGUAGAUCUACUGCCUUUCUUUGGAACGCUGCGGACUGCGACCAGUCUCUUAAAAAGAAGAACAGAGAGAAGAAGACCCUGAAUAGACCACCCCCCGGACAAAGCACUUUGGGUUUCGCCAGAAGGGAUGCGCGGGAGCGUUGGCUCGGGAAUACGAGUGAUCUCCCGUGCGGUAGGGGGCCCGCCCGGCGUGCGGACCUCUGAGGCGAGAGGACUGCAGCAGCCGAGUUCCGGAAGGCUGAUUCCCCAGAUCCUGGCCCCGGACCCCGGCAGCUAGCCCCUGCGGCACGCCCGGCCCGGCUGCUCCUGGACUCGGCGAGCGAGGAAAAAGCCUGGAUCCGAAAGGAUGGGGGAGAACAAAGAGCCUUUGGAAGACGUCGCUGUUAUCUCAUUGUCUGUGUGAUCGGGAGAGCUGCGGUAGGGAGGAUGCUGUGGUCCUUUUCUCCCUGCGCUCCCCCACCCCCAAGCCUGUCCCCGCUGUCAGUGCGCACGCACACGCGCCGCUUUUUACUUGUUUUUCCUUGUUUUCUCAUUCCAUCUUCUCCCCAUCCCCCUUCCUUUCUUCCACCUUUCCUUCCUCCUUUCCUUCCUCAGGAGAAAGGCCUCUCUCUCCGUGUUCACAGCGGACCUUGAUUUAAAUGUCCAUACAAUUAAGGCACGCGGUGAAUGCCAAGAAUGGGGCUGGCUGUGCACCGUCGGUCCGGGAGGGCCCUCCGAGGAAGGAGCCACAGAGCCGAGUUGCCCUCCGCAGAGCUCAGCGCUGCGGCUUCAGGCGGGAGGGGUCGCGGGCUCUCGCUGGCUGGGCUGCCCCAACCGGAGCCUUUGGGCUGGGGAGGCGUGUGGCUUGUGACAGACAGGGGCUUAGAGAUGCAAACAGACUCAGAGAGAAACAGAAGCUGAUUCUGUAACAGAAACACAGAUCUGUGCAAGCCCAGAUUGGGGGUGGGGGGAGUGUGGAGCGGGGAGGCAGUUGCUGUGAGCGCAUUGCGGAGUGCUUCCGUGUGCAGAUUUUUCUCUGGGCUCGGGGUGCAUUGUAUGCGGGGCGACACCUUUCUUCGUGGCUGUGUUUUUGCUCUGGUCUUAGCUUUUGGUUUACCCUUUAAACAAAUAAUCUGGCAUCCAGAAGACCGGCAGACUGUGUCAGGGCUGGGACUGCAGAUAUAUUGGGUUCUGCUGUCGGUUGGGGGGUGGGGGGAGGGCAGCCAGUAGGAAGGGAGGAGGGAGGUGUUUGUCCCUCUUUGCUGUAGCGCUGUGGGCACCUGACAAGCCGAAGGAAGUCAUUGAGAUACAGGGGGAAGAAGCACCAAACUCCUGGACCAUUCACCACAAGCUCCAUCAGAGCUGAAAGUAUGGCCAGGGCUCUCCGGAGAAACUCACUUCCUCCUGGCGGCUGUAAUCGCAGUUUCAGGCAGAGAUCCAGGAGAUGCCGAGGAGGGGAGAGGUGCAGUAACCUACAUGCACCCGAGGGGGUGGAGGCGGUGCGUUCCUUUUUAAAAUCUGAACAGAAGGAAAAACAGAAUGUGCACAGGUGGGGGUCUGAGGAAAGACUGUUUUUGAAAGAGGCCGUUCAGGGAAUGGUAAGGGUUAACCCUCCCUCAUCCUGAAGAACCUGCUACCCAAAUCACCUUUCCUCCCCAUCGGCAGACCUAGUGCAGCAGCUGGUCCUAGAGAUCCCCCUGCGCUCCACAGUCACAGCCCAACCCCCGACCCUGAGCUGCAGUGGAGAGACCUAAACUCAUUAAUUUCCAGGUGGAGAAAAUGGAGGAGGGGCAGGUCCCUGCAGAGAAAGGAGGCCAAGAACUGGAACUUCCCACCCAGGAAGGCUGCUGCAUCCCUUUCCUUGACCCUGGCAGAGGCCCGUCUUUGCAAGACCAAGGCCAUAAGGGAUGCUUACAAUUUUAGUUUGGUUCCUGACAAGAGUAAUCAAGGCCUAAAAGAGUCUCAGCUGAAGCUUACUGAGGUGCUCUUUCUUCUCCAAAGCCUCAGUAUAGCCCACUAAAUAAAUUAGUAUUCAUGGAUACCUAGCCUCAUCUCCUCCCAUAUAUUUACUGAGUACCUACUAUGUGCCGAUCAUUGUGUAAUUAUUAUAUCUUGAGUUCUUCCUUUGCCUUCCUAAGGGAGUGUCUGGAGUCAGGUGAGGUUAAGUGUGCUGUGCCCCAUUCCAGACACUCCCAGAACCUUCUCUGAGUCUGGCAGAAAUGUGCCAGAACCUACUCACCCCUGCAGAGAGAAGGAUGCAGUUCACAUCGUGCAAACUGCAGGCGCAGGGCUCUUCUUCACAUCCCAGAAGGCAAGCCUGGCUGGACGACAGAAGAGAAAGCAGCUUCUCUCAUCCCUUAGCCUUAGCCAGGGUUGUCCUAAGAGGGACCGGCAGCCACUGCCUUCAAAACAGUCCUCCCUCUAAAUGGUCCCUCCUUGGCCCUCCCCCGCCCCUCCUCUGAGCGCUGCUCUUACAGUGCUUUGGGGCCUGACUUAAGCCUCCGAUGACCAACCCUCGACCCCACAGUUGUCCACAUUAAUAAGCCUCAUCUCCGUAAUUGCUUCCCCGUAAUUCCAUCAGACAUGACUGUGCCCUUCGCUGAUGUGCCUGCCGCCAGUACAAUCUCCAGAUGCCUCCCCAAGUAACGCCCCUUUGAGGUGGAAACCUAACACGCUUCUCCCUGAGAGUUUAAACCGCAGGCACCAUGGACGAGGCCUGCCAGGUUCCUGCUGCCAACGAUUAGGAUGGGAAGGGCGUGUUUUCUUAUUUUAUUACUUAUUUAAACUCUUGUUCCAGAAAGCUCUAAUGUGUGUGGGAGUGUUCUGGGUUUGCCGGGGCUUUUCCAGUGUUCGCCAGGUCUCAUUAUGAAAUGUGGUUUUAAGGGGGGCUUUAAUGGCUGAAAAUGGCACCGAUGAAUGCACCACUCUGACCCCUGGGUAAUUUCAAGGCCCCUUUUGUGUUCACCAAAUAUAGGUAUAAGGUGAAGAUCAGUCCUAGCUUCUUAUCUUCUGCUCUAUUAGGGGCCUAUUUCUGCCCAGCGGUAUUUAUGUAAGAAACCUGAUGAUUUCUGCUCUUUCAAGGCAUUUCUUUAACCCUUAACAUCAUCUUCACCCCUAUCUCUCUAUCUGAGCCCCUCUAAUUACAAGCUGUGGCUUAAAUGAAGGAAAAACGAUAUGAAUUUUAAAAUGUAGGACAUGUUUGGGUGCAGUUUGCUGACCGAAUAUGCUAUGAAGACCCCCGUUGGUUCACACACCACCAUCAUUAUGGUCCUCAUGGUGAUGGAAGCUCAUAGGUUUCUCAAGGUGACAGCACCAGCUACUUUAAGAUGGAUUUAGAAAUGUAUCAAAGGAAAACUUGGUAAUAUUCUUCUUUCCCCUGCCAGAGAUGGCCCAGGCCCAGAUCUCUGUUUAAGCGGAAAAGAAACUGAUCCUUUAACAGAGGCAAAGGUAAAUUCUUGUAUGGCCUCUACAUUCCUUUCCCCAGCGGGGUGGGGAGGGGGGACAGUUUUUGUGGGCGCAUGAGGAGCCUUAACCCAAGAAAUAAAGAUUGAGGGGGAGGGGUAAUUUCUCAGCGGGCAUAUGCCCAUAUACACAUAUAUACAUAGAUUUUCUUGCACGAUCAUAUCCACUGCUAGUAUAUAUAGGAAGGCAUUUAACCACACAUACAAAACAUCUCCUAUCUAUCUCCGCAGGGAAAUAAUUUUCUCUUUCCCUCUACUGAACUUACAUAAUUCCCCCACCCCUUGUUCCAAUCUUAGAAUGGAGUCCUUUGCGGGCAGCUGCAAAGCAUUCUCCCCAGGACAGAUGGAACCACCCUUCCUCAUCUAGUCUGUGGGUGGGUUUAGUGAGUCAACACAGGCUGAGGGUUGUGCUGGUGGUUUGUGUUUGAGGCUUGCCUGAUUAUUGUCAAUAAAAAUUAUGGGAAUUAUAAUACCUAAUAAAAAUGUUUUUUCUUCCAA